GCCCAAGAGAUCGGGAUAACACCUGGAAACAGAUGCUAAUACCGGAUAACAACAGAUGAUGCCUAUCGACUGUUUAAAAGAUGGUUCUGCUAUCACUCUUGGAUGGACCUGCGGUGCAUUAGCUAGUUGGUAGGGUAACGGCCUACCAAGGCGAUGAUGCAUAGCCGAGUUGAGAGACUGAUCGGCCACAUUGGGACUGAGACACGGCCCAAACUCCUACGGGAGGCAGCAGGC
Molecule: ribosomal RNA, 234 nt
Filed under: uncultured Lactobacillus sp.
Lineage: Bacteria; Bacillati; Bacillota; Bacilli; Lactobacillales; Lactobacillaceae
Description: partial 16S ribosomal RNA
Rfam family: Bacterial small subunit ribosomal RNA
Source: RNAcentral